RNAcentral lists this ribosomal RNA (433 nucleotides) under uncultured bacterium. Its description in RNAcentral is "partial 16S ribosomal RNA". It matches the Rfam family "Bacterial small subunit ribosomal RNA", at positions 29 to 507 of the family's 1533-position model. The record is from RNAcentral.
AACGAACGCUGGCGGCAUGCCUAACACAUGCAAGUCGAACGAAGGCUUCGGCCUUAGUGGCGCACGGGUGCGUAACGCGUGGGAAUCUGCCCUUUGGUUCGGAAUAACAGCUGGAAACGGCUGCUAAUACCGGAUGAUGACGAAAGUCCAAAGAUUUAUCGCCAGAGGAUGAGCCCGCGUUGGAUUAGGCAGUUGGUGGGGUAAAGGCCUACCAAGCCGACGAUCCAUAGCUGGUCUGAGAGGAUGAGCAGCCACACUGGGACUGAGACACGGCCCAGACUCCUACGGGAGGCAGCAGUGGGGAAUAUUGGACUAUGGGCGCAAGCCUGAUCCAGCAAUGCCGCGUGAGUGAUGAAGUCCCUAGGGUUGUAAAGCUCUUUUACCCGGGAAGAUAAUGACGGUACCGAGAGAAUAAGCCCCGGCUAACUCCGUG